UUUUAACUCCACAUGGGGUAACAUCCACUGAAGCUUUUCUUUUUGAAGAAGGAUAACAUGGUGUGAAAGAAGGGUGGAGAGAAGCCAGGAUCUCAGGUAGAUCUGAAUCUGUAGCCUGACCAAAGAAGAACCCUCAAGAAUGUGCCUAAGACUGUGCCUCAAGGGAAAUCUGAGAGCUUCUUCGGAGUUACUUUUUCCUUCUGGAGGCCAGCGCAUCGGCGCAGAGACCAAGGUGAGAAAAUGCAUGUAAAAUGGGCUGUGAGCUGGAAGCUAAAACGUUGGAGGAAUUCAAAUCGUGGGAGGUAUCAGAAUCAAGCCAGGGUUGCACAGGUGAGGAAGUUGAGGCACAUGGAGCUCAAGUAACUGGCCUCAGUUACACAUCUGGUAUUGAUAGGAUGAAAACCUUCCCUGUCUCACUGACGUUUUACAGAUGUGUUGCAUUAUAUUGUAAACAUGGAAAAAUAUCUUAAGGAAUGAUAAGGAUAUGCAAAAUGUAUUUUAAGCCGAAUGUCUUGGACCAAAAGCCACACACAAUAACCUGUCCCAAAAGCAAUUAUCACAUCAGGACACACCCGUUGGGACUCAACACUCCUAUUUCAAGUCUGUCCAAACACCGCAGCCCAUGUGUCUAAUGGCUUUGACAGGAGGGUGAGAUCUAGCAUCUGUGAGAGCCUUAUUUAACUGAGCAGGAAAUGGAUGUUUUCCGAACCAAAGUCUUGCAAGUCAAGAAAUACCUAUCUUGUGAACAGGAUUUAUGCUUUCAUUCCAAAGAGGAGAAGAAGUAAAAGCAAAAUGGACAAAAUUUAAAUCACAGCUCUGGAGCCCAUUUUCCAGUGGGAAUUGAGAGUGUUUGUGGAACAGUUUGGCUUGAGAGGUAAUCUCCUUGAAACACAAGGACUUUCCUGAGUGUGUGAAAGUAUUUGGACCUCUGAGAUCUCUGAGAUUUCAAGUGUAACUUUCAAUUCAGGCAUUGCCUUUUCCAAGAGAGCUUUGCUUCCUCCCUCUGUUCUCUUGGUUAGACUUUUUUUUUAUAUAUAUAUAUAUGCUGGUUGUUUUUCACUGAGUUUCCUUAUUGUUUUGGAAUUGUCCUCUUCUCCAUUAGAUUGUGUGUCAUUGAUGGGUGACCAUGGAUGUGCUUCACUCAAAUUAUUCUUUCUGUAACUAGCACGGUUUGAACUAGAAUCAAUCUUGUUCAAGAGAUGAAUGCUGUAUCAAUGGACAAAGGAAUGAAUACAGUCUUUACCAUUAUAAGCUUGGUAUGGUGUAGGUGGAUGCUUGGAAUUCAAGUAAGUAAAGCUAGUCAAGGGCCACUCUUGUUUGCGCCUGACUAACAAUCUUGCGUCAUCCAAAGGCUGAGUGUCCAGCAUGUCAGGAAGAGUUGUGGUUCCAUUUAGUCAGUGUGUUUUGGCAGUUUUGGCUUCUUGUAGUUGCCUGAUGAAGUGAUGUAGGGUGGAUGGAAGCCCAAAGUUAUUUCUCAACAAGAAAAGCCUGUCUUCUUCUAUGGCUUCUCUUUCCUUACGUCGGAAAGGAAAUACUACCUUAACACAUCAAUCCCUAAAUCAUUUAAACAAUUGCUUAACAAAGAUGGUCAAGAAUUAUUCUAGUUCAGUGUGAUUCCAGAGGAAAUUCUGUCUUGGCUCAAGGGAUGGGUGGCCUUUGGUUUUCUUUUAGGUACUUUCAGGAAGUCUCAGAGUUACAGGAGGAAUGUUUAGAUCAAUCAGGCAUAUGGGCAAGUGGGUCAGUGGAUUCUGGGUCAGAGCCAGGCCCUUGACCUGAUAAUCAGAGGUAGUUUGUUGAGGCAGAGAAGAAAGGGGCGGAGUCUUGAAAAACCAUGGUGUAAACUGGAGAAAAGAUAUAUAAGCUAAAAUUAAAAGGCAACUAA
Phacochoerus africanus (Common warthog) is the source of this 1882-nucleotide long non-coding RNA. RefSeq lists it as uncharacterized. Lineage: Eukaryota; Metazoa; Chordata; Mammalia; Artiodactyla; Suidae. The transcript has 5 exons. The record is from RefSeq and is a predicted model, not a curated record.